This 71-nucleotide transfer RNA is filed under the name Penicillium ochrochloron. RNAcentral describes it as "tRNA-Thr". It matches the Rfam family "tRNA". Rfam says of the family: Transfer RNA (tRNA) molecules are approximately 80 nucleotides in length. Their secondary structure includes four short double-helical elements and three loops (D, anti-codon, and T loops). The record is from RNAcentral. Lineage: Eukaryota; Fungi; Ascomycota; Eurotiomycetes; Eurotiales; Aspergillaceae. RNAcentral also lists the same sequence under 2 other names.
GCCUUGAUGGUGUAAUGGUAACACGGGUCACUAGUAAUGACUUGCUCUCAGUUCGAUUCUGGGUCGAGGCA